Notolabrus celidotus (New Zealand spotty) is the source of this 885-nucleotide long non-coding RNA. RefSeq lists it as uncharacterized. The transcript has 3 exons. The record is from RefSeq and is a predicted model, not a curated record. NCBI's taxonomy places the organism in Eukaryota, Metazoa, Chordata, Actinopteri, Labriformes, Labridae.
AACAGCUACAGUAGCUCUUUAUAAGAACCAUACAGUUUAAUGUAACACCAGCUACACUAGCUCAUUAUACGAACCAUACAGUUUAAUGUCACAGCUACGCUAGCUCAUUAUAAGAACCUUAAAGUUUAAUGUGAUAACAGGUCACUUCGUGCUGGCUUCUUGCACGACACCCUGGACUCUGAAAUUAAUGAAGCCUGUGAACAUGAAGCCACCUGAAGACGAAGCACCCUGCAGGGUCUGCCCAGAACACGUACAGAGCUGUGAGGGGAACACAGCUGACCGAUGACGCCAGCAGCAGCCCGAUAAACAGCUGACCAAAGACCGGAUACUCCUUCACCACUGACUUACCCUGAGAACACAACAGGCAUGGUUAAAGUGAAGGUAAAAUAACACAUGACAUACCCUAUGCUCUUCAACUGAUCAACAUUUCAGAAGUUUCUGUGGAGGAGUCUUUUCAAUCAAUCCAGCACUCCACAAAGAUUGAUUUACUUCAUAGCCCAGCACUGUUCUCUUAACAUCCAUGAUUGUGACGUGAUGAGAGGAAAGAGUCCACAUUGCGAAAUAUUUUCUUUAGUGAAUGGUUUAUUAAAGACUUUAUGGUCUCAGUCUUUCAGGCCCUCUUCAGAUAAUACACCCUGACUAUAAAGCUAGCUCGCACUACCAGUGAAAGAUAACUCAGGUAAUUCCUCACUCCUCUUGGCCCACCCUCUUGGUGGUCACUUCUGGCUUGAAAAAGAGAAGUCAGUUGGGGUAGAUACAAGGAGACGUAUAACAUUAACAUCUAUAAAUGUUGUAUGCAGAUCAUUAAACUUGGUUUCAUCUUUAAGCAUAGAUGAGAUGAGUCUUUCACUGUGUCUAUGCAGACUUUUGCUUCGAUGUGAUUUA